Molecule: ribosomal RNA, 253 nt
Filed under: uncultured bacterium
Lineage: Bacteria
Description: partial 16S ribosomal RNA
Rfam family: Bacterial small subunit ribosomal RNA
Source: RNAcentral
UACGAAGGGUGCAAGCGUUAAUCGGAAUUACUGGGCGUAAAGCGUGCGCAGGCGGCUUUGCAAGACAGAUGUGAAAUCCCCGGGCUCAACCUGGGAACUGCAUUUGAGACUGCAAGGCUAGAGUACGGCAGAGGGGGAUGGAAUUCCGCGUGUAGCAGUGAAAUGCGUAGAUAUGCGGAGGAACACCAAUGGCGAAGGCAAUCCUCUGGGCCUGUACUGACGCUCAUGCACGAAAGCGUGGGGAGCAAACAGG